Molecule: long non-coding RNA, 1614 nt
Organism: Puntigrus tetrazona (Sumatra barb)
Lineage: Eukaryota; Metazoa; Chordata; Actinopteri; Cypriniformes; Cyprinidae
Exons: 3
Source: RefSeq, a predicted model, not a curated record
AGGUUCAAAAUAUAUAUUUUUGUGUUCAGCAGAAGGAAACUCAUACAGGUUUGUAACAACUUAAGGGAAAGUAAAUUAUCACACAAUCAAAAAAUUUAAUUCAAGUAUCAAGUAUAUUUUAUGUCAUAUUUGUGUCAAAUAUAAUUUUAUAAUUUUAACUAUAGCACAUUUUCAUUGAUUUCAUUUUCAAAUAACAUGCAGUUAAGUGUUCAAAAAUAUUACAUUCAAUUUACACUUCAAGUAUAACAGCAUAAUAUUUGCACUGAAGGUAUAUUCCAUAAUAAGUGCUUUUUAUGCUAAGGUGUGUUUCGAAUUUAUGAUGUUUCAUUCCUUUAUAAAACAUUUUACACAUUCUUAGAGCAAGUCAGAGCUUAAACAGGCUCAGUGGAUUUUUGGAGGUUCAACAAACUUUGUCAGUUAGAAGUUAGAGUUCUUCAGUUCACUGCCCAAGCUCAGUGCUCGAGUAGACCUCGUUUCUGUCUAAAGAGGCCCUGGAAAAGAUCCAGUCACAUCAAAGAAACAACACAGUCCUGACAGAGAACCGGCGAAGGUACAACAAAAAGCCCCCGAAGGCGACGGCCUCAGGAAGUAGAGUGUAUUGUUGGAGGUAUUGACUAGAGGCCAAGCACAAUACUGCCGUCCCUCGAGGACGCUGAGGCAAUUUCAGUCGACUCUAUGAGUCAGAGUCCAUGUCACUUCCUUGUCACUUCCUCUAAUGCUCUCUGCAUUUGAUAUUUGUUCUGCCGUAGGAGAAACAUUGUUCCACGCACAGAUCUAAAAACAGCUGCUGAGAGGUUGGGAGGCUGGGGUCACACUCGUCAGAUGUGGAAUUCAGUGGCUUUAGUCUGAAGUCUCUGGUGCAGCCGGAGCUUGCGGUGUUGCAGGAGACCCUCCAGUCUGCGAUACUGAUGAACCACCUCGUGGACCACCUCCAGAACCCCCCUCACCGCCUGACUGUAGUCGGCCCCUGCCGUCAGAGACCCGGAGUCAGCAGGAGGCUGAGGCCUCUGCAACACAUCCAGGAGUGUCUUUCCUUUCUGACUGACCUGCAACCAGAAAUAUAUCAUCCGUUAGUCGGUGGUGGACAGGUGAACAAGCAAUUCAUUGCAAACGGGACGGAUCCAGCUGGAGCUGUUCGUGAAUCAACUCACUGAUUCAAUGAAUCAUUAGGAACGAGCCUCUGGUUAACGGCUCAUUAAACUGGUCACGUCUGACUCAAAACAGAACGAGCAUCAUACUCUGAGUUCAAGUGUGCAAGGUUUGACUAAUGUCCACGUCAGUUGCUAAUUCCAUUUUGUAGUAUUGUUUAUUGUAAGUGAAAAUCAUAUUCAUGUUAUACAGUACAUGACGGUCAUUUGUUUGUGAACUACUUUUAACAAAAUAGUCCACCCAAAAAAUUGCUGAGAACAUUACAAGUGGAAAAUUGUGUGUCUGCAAGGUUUAAAGUUUGGACUGGAGUGAUUUGUUUGCGGAUUAUUGUGAUAUUUUUAUCAGUUUUGGACUCGUUUACUGCAGAGGAUCCAUUGUUAUCGCUAUAUCUAUUGCAUUGCUAAAUCUCCAAGACAAAGCUUUUUUGGCCAAAAAGUGUCCUAAAUAGUACAGCUCCGCAAAAAC